Molecule: ribosomal RNA, 305 nt
Filed under: uncultured bacterium
Lineage: Bacteria
Description: bacterial SSU rRNA
Rfam family: Bacterial small subunit ribosomal RNA
Source: RNAcentral
UUGGCCUACGGGGGGCAGCAGUGGGGAAUAUUGCACAAUGGGGGAAACCCUGAUGCAGCGACGCCGCGUGAAGGAAGAAGUAUCUCGGUAUGUAAACUUCUAUCAGCAGGGAAGAAAAUGACGGUACCUGACUAAGAAGCUCCGGCUAAAUACGUGCCAGCAGCCGCGGUAAUACGUAUGGAGCAAGCGUUAUCCGGAUUUACUGGGUGUAAAGGGAGCGCAGGCGGCAUGGCAAGUCAGAUGUGAAAGCCCGGGGCUCAACCCCGGGACUGCAUUUGAAACUGUCAGGCUGGAGUGCAGGAGAG